This 482-nucleotide ribosomal RNA is filed under the name uncultured bacterium. RNAcentral describes it as "partial 16S ribosomal RNA". It matches the Rfam family "Bacterial small subunit ribosomal RNA", at positions 30 to 507 of the family's 1533-position model. The record is from RNAcentral.
AUUGAACGCUGGCGGCAUGCUUUACACAUGCAAGUCGAACGGCAGCGCGUGGCAACCUGGCGGCGAGUGGCGAACGGGUGAGUAAUACAUCGGAACGUACCCAGAAGUGGGGGAUAACGUAGCGAAAGUUACGCUAAUACCGCAUACGUUCUACGGAAGAAAGUGGGGGACCUUCGGGCCUCAUGCUUUUGGAGCGGCCGAUGUCUGAUUAGCUAGUUGGUGAGGUAAAGGCUCACCAAGGCGACGAUCAGUAGCUGGUCUGAGAGGACGACCAGCCACACUGGGACUGAGACACGGCCCAGACUCCUACGGGAGGCAGCAGUGGGGAAUUUUGGACAAUGGGCGCAAGCCUGAUCCAGCAAUGCCGCGUGAGUGAAGAAGGCCUUCGGGUUGUAAAGCUCUUUUGUCAGGGAAGAAACGGCUGAGGAUAAUACCUUCGGCUAAUGACGGUACCUGAAGAAUAAGCACCGGCUAACUACGUG